RNAcentral lists this ribosomal RNA (541 nucleotides) under Sphingomonas faeni. RNAcentral describes it as "bacterial SSU rRNA". It matches the Rfam family "Bacterial small subunit ribosomal RNA", at positions 102 to 678 of the family's 1533-position model. The record is from RNAcentral. Lineage: Bacteria; Pseudomonadati; Pseudomonadota; Alphaproteobacteria; Sphingomonadales; Sphingomonadaceae.
ACGGGUGCGUAACGCGUGGGAAUCUGCCCCUUGGUUCGGAAUAACAGUUGGAAACGACUGCUAAUACCGGAUGAUGACGUAAGUCCAAAGAUUUAUCGCCGAGGGAUGAGCCCGCGUAGGAUUAGGUAGUUGGUGUGGUAAAGGCGCACCAAGCCGACGAUCCUUAGCUGGUCUGAGAGGAUGAUCAGCCACACUGGGACUGAGACACGGCCCAGACUCCUACGGGAGGCAGCAGUGGGGAAUAUUGGACAAUGGGCGAAAGCCUGAUCCAGCAAUGCCGCGUGAGUGAUGAAGGCCUUAGGGUUGUAAAGCUCUUUUACCCGGGAUGAUAAUGACAGUACCGGGAGAAUAAGCUCCGGCUAACUCCGUGCCAGCAGCCGCGGUAAUACGGAGGGAGCUAGCGUUAUUCGGAAUUACUGGGCGUAAAGCGCACGUAGGCGGCUUUGUAAGUAAGAGGUGAAAGCCCAGAGCUCAACUCUGGAAUUGCCUUUUAGACUGCAUCGCUUGAAUCAUGGAGAGGUCAGUGGAAUUCCGAGUGUAG